ACGGCAGCACAGGGAGAGCUUGCUCCCCGGGUGGCGAGUGGCGGACGGGUGAGGAAUACGUCGGAAUCUGCCCAGUCGUGGGGGAUAACUUAGGGAAACUUAAGCUAAUACCGCAUACGACCCUCGGGUGAAAGCGGAGGACCUUCGGGCUUCGCGCGAUUGGAUGAGCCGACCUCGGAUUAGCUAGUUGGUGGGGUAAAGGCCUACCAAGGCGACGAUCCGUAGCUGGUCUGAGAGGAUGAUCAGCCACACUGGAACUGAGACACGGUCCAGACUCCUACGGGAGGCAGCAGUGGGGAAUAUUGGACAAUGGGCGCAAGCCUGAUCCAGCCAUGCCGCGUGAGUGAAGAAGGCCCUCGGGUUGUAAAGCUCUUUUGUCCGGAAAGAAAAGCUUUCGGCUAAUACCCGGAAGUCAUGACGGUCCCGGAAGAAUAAGCACCGGCAAAUUUCGUGCCAGC
Molecule: ribosomal RNA, 458 nt
Filed under: uncultured bacterium
Lineage: Bacteria
Description: bacterial SSU rRNA
Rfam family: Bacterial small subunit ribosomal RNA
Source: RNAcentral